GACGAACCGUGCGAACGUUGUUCGGAAUCACUGGGCUUAAAGGGCGCGUAGGCGGGCCGCCAAGUCAGGGGUGAAAGCCCCCAGCUCAACUGGGGAAGUGCCUUUGAUACUGGCGGUCUCGAGGGGGAUAGGGGCGUGCGGAACUUCCGGUGGAGCGGUGAAAUGCGUAGAUAUCGGAAGGAACACCGGUGGCGAAAGCGGCGCGCUGGAUCCCUUCUGACGCUGAGGCGCGAAAGCCAGGGGAGCGAACGGG
RNAcentral lists this ribosomal RNA (253 nucleotides) under uncultured bacterium. RNAcentral's name for it is "partial 16S ribosomal RNA". It matches the Rfam family "Bacterial small subunit ribosomal RNA", at positions 524 to 776 of the family's 1533-position model. The record is from RNAcentral.